CGCAUCUGUGCAUGCAGCAUAUCAAUAAGCGGAGGAAAAGAAACUAACAAGGAUUCCCUAGUGACGGCGAGUGAAGCGGGAAGAGCUCAAAUUUGAAAUCUUAAAGGUUUUCCCUUGACGAAUUGUAGUUUAAAGAAGUGUUUUCUGUUGAAGUUUUGGUAAAAGUUCUUUGGAAUAGGACAUCAUAGAGGGUGAGAAUCCCGUAUUUGACCUUUACUUUCAACUUUGUGAUACACUUUCAAAGAGUCGGAUUGUUUGGGAAUGCAGUCCAAAAUGGGUGGUAAAUUUCAGUCUAAAGCUAAAUAUUGGCGAGAGACCGAUAGCGAACAAGUACCGUGAGGGAAAGAUGAAAAGAACUUUGAAAAGAGAGUUAAACAGUACGUGAAAUUGUCAAAAGGGAAGCGUUUGACACCAGUGUUGUUUUUCUGAAAAUCAAUUAAAGAACUGUUUAUGCUAAGUCUGUUUAGACUUUAUCAGCUAACUGUUUAGUUUUGAGCUUUUCUUUAAUGCACUUUUCAGUUAACAAGUCAACAUCAAUUUCUUUUGCUGUAAAAAAGCUUGAGGAAGGUGGCUUGAGAUUCGUCUUAAGUGUUUAUAGCCUCUUGCCUAUGCAGUCGGAGAGAUUGAGGUCUGCAGCGUAGAUCCUUCGGGGCUAAAUGCAUUUGUGCUAAGUUAUAGCAUUUUAUAGACAACUUGUUGACUAUGAUUUGUCUUGUAGCUUACUCGCUUAUGUUAUUUUACCUACGCUUAGGAUGUUGAUGUGAUACUGCGAGCA
RNAcentral lists this ribosomal RNA (775 nucleotides) under uncultured Neocallimastigales. RNAcentral's name for it is "partial large subunit ribosomal RNA". It matches the Rfam family "Eukaryotic large subunit ribosomal RNA", at positions 26 to 646 of the family's 3401-position model. The record is from RNAcentral. Lineage: Eukaryota; Fungi; Neocallimastigomycota; Neocallimastigomycetes; Neocallimastigales.